CCUACGGGUGGCAGCAGUGGGGAAUAUUGGACAAUGGGCGAAAGCCUGAUCCAGCCAUGCCGCGUGUGUGAAGAAGGCCUUCGGGUUGUAAAGCACUUUCAGUGGGGAAGAAAGCCUUGGGGCUAAUACCCUCGAGGAAGGACAUCACCCACAGAAGAAGCACCGGCUAACUCCGUGCCAGCAGCCGCGGUAAUACGGAGGGUGCGAGCGUUAAUCGGAAUUACUGGGCGUAAAGCGCGCGUAGGCGGUCUGAUAAGCCGGUUGUGAAAGCCCCGGGCUCAACCUGGGAACGGCAUCCGGAACUGUCAGGCUAGAGUGCAGGCGAGGAAGGUAGAAUUCCCGGUGUAGCGGUGAAAUGCGUAGAGAUCGGGAGGAAUACCAGUGGCGAAGGCGGCCUUCUGGACUGACACUGACGCUGAGGUGCGAAAGCGUGGGUAGCAAACAGGAUUAGAUACCCCGGUAGUC
RNAcentral lists this ribosomal RNA (465 nucleotides) under Vreelandella stevensii. RNAcentral describes it as "partial 16S ribosomal RNA". It matches the Rfam family "Bacterial small subunit ribosomal RNA", at positions 338 to 795 of the family's 1533-position model. Lineage: Bacteria; Pseudomonadati; Pseudomonadota; Gammaproteobacteria; Oceanospirillales; Halomonadaceae. The record is from RNAcentral.